GGGGGCAGGCAGGCUGGGGCCACUUGUGCUUUUAGGGGGCACACUUUAUCAUUUAUUUUAACCUAAAGUACUUUCAGGAUUAUUGCAAGUCAUUUUUCACUGUCUCUACAAGUUGUCUCUACAAGUAAGCUAAGAAAAUAAUGAAAUAAAUAAAAAUAAUAAAUAAUAAUAAACAAAUAAAAAAACUUUUACUUGGCCAGAGAGUAAAUUUAAUAUAAAUAUAAACAUAUAUAUAUACACCGAUAUAAUAUAUAAUAGCAUUAUACAUGUCUCCUACAAACAAAAUGCUUUCUUGAGUAUAUAGACCGGCACAUGAAAAGUCAACGAACAACAUAUGUGAAUAUGUGUGGCACAAAACAAACACCGUUCGGUUAAAAGAAUCUCUGCUUGGAGAGAAUUAAUAAACAUGUAGGCUAAUAUAACUGUGGAUAUAAUACUUAUACAGCUAUGAUAGUGAAAAUAAAUUAAGAUGAAUAAGGGCAUUCGAAAUAGAUUAAACCUGGAUCAUUUCAGGUACGUGUACGCAGCUUUAUUCAUAUCAAAGUUUCUACUAUCGCAGUUAAAGUAACUGUUUGCACUCUGAUAGAGACGUGUUCCCAUUAGCUGUACUCUGUAGGUAGUAUGACCUACUAUUGAUGGAUGUCAACAUUGCAUAACCACACGCAGAAUACCCCCACUACGCUUAUGUGCAGAACUUGCAUUCCUGUGCAGAACUCACUUUUGUAGGCUUUUGAGUGGAUAAAAGAUAGAAACCUUCUUCAUUUCUGGGAAAAAAAAGGUAGCCAGUUUAAACUGUAAUGCCCUCCCACCCCUUGAAAUGCACUCCCCUGACUCAGUCUCCCCGCACAACACCCUCCAACAAAAUUCCAGACCACUCUUGAAUAUUUCAUGACAAAUUAAUGAGAUAAAAGAUCUGCAGUUGAUUCCAAGUGUUGAAUUUGCAUUUGGUAGCCAUUCAUGGGAACUAUAAUAACUAUAUAAUAUGAAGUCCAAAGAGGUGUCGAUGCAAGUCAAGGAGGCCAUCAUUAGGAUUAAAAAACCAAAACAGUCCUAUCGGAGAGAUAGCAGAAACUUUAGGAGUGGCCAAAUCAACAAUUUGGUACAUUCUUGAAAAAAAGGAAUGCACAGCAACAUCAAAAGCCCUGGAAGACCAUGGAAAAGAACUAAAUUGGAUGAACACAGAAUUAUUUCCUUGUUGAAGAAAACCCCGUUCACAACAUCUAGUCAAGUCAAGGACACUCUGGAGGAGGUAGGAGUAUCAUUGUCAGAGUCUACAAUCAAGAGACACCUUCAUGAAUGUAUAUACAAGGGGUUUACCUCAAGAUGCGAAACCACUGGUAACACUCAAGAACAGAAAGAGCAGAUUAGACUCUGCUAGAAAACAUCGGAGAGAAAAGCCUGCCCAGUCCUGGAACAAGAUUCUUUGGACAGAUAAAACCAAGAUUAACUUGUACCAGAAUGAUGGGAAUAGAAGAGUAUGCAGAAGGAAAGGAAGGGCUCAUUAUCCAAAGCAUACUACAUCAUCUGUCCAAAAUGGUGGAGGGAGUGUUAUGGCAUGGGCAUGUAUGGCUGCCAAUGGAACUGGUUCACUGGUGUUUAUUGAUGAUGUGACUGCUGAUAGAAGUAGCAGGCUGAAUUCUGAAGUGUAUAGAGCUAUACUGAUCAAAUUCAGCCAAAUGCUGCAAAAAUGAUAGGACGGUGCUUCACAGUACAGAUGGAUAAUGACCCAAAACAUACAGCGAAAGCAACCCAAGAGCUUCCUAAUGCAAAGAGAUGGAAUGUUCAUAAAUGGGCAAAUCAGUCAUCUGACUUCAACUCAAUUGAGCAUGCUUUUCAUUUACUGAAGACAAAACUGAAGGCAGAAAGACCCACAAAUAUGCAGCAACAGAAGGCAGCUGCAGUAAAGGCCUGGCAAAGCAACUCAAGGGGGGAAACUCAACAUUUGAUGAUGUUCAUGGUUUCCAGAUUUGAGACAGUCAUUGAUUGCAAAGGAUUUGCAUCCAAGCAUUAAAAAUAAUCUUGAUUUUCUAAUCAAGUAAUAGUUUGAUUAUAAUAUAUAGUUUGUCCAGUUACUUUGAGCUUGUGUAAAUGGAGGGACUCUGUAAAAAAAAAAAAAGAUAGUUGUCAUUCCUAAAAGGUUAAUGCAAUAUUUUUUGUUAAAGCCCUUGAAUUAAAGUUGAAAGUCUCCACUUCAAUCACAUCUUGAUUGCUUCAUUUCAAGUCCAUAUUGAUGGUGUAGAGAGGCAAAAUUACAAAAAUUGUGUCACUGUCCAAAUAUGUAUGGAGCCGACUAUAUAUCUCCAAUAGACAGUAACCUGAACUCAGGAUCGAACCAAGGACCUGUUGCUACAGCACCAUGCUGUCCAUUUUGUUAUGAUUUUAAUUUGAAAAGUAGUGCAACCUAGAUUAAAAAUAGAGCACUGAAUCCGAGUCUGAAUAAUUGAUUCUUUUUUUUUUUUUUUUUUUUUUUUAGAAAAUACAAUCAUCACUCAGCCUCACACACUCAAAAAACAAAAGUAUAUUAACCCUAUCAUCAACCCACAUAUAUUGAGUCCAGUGUGACCUGCCCUCUUUUUUUCAAAUAACGAGGGCCAAUUCAGCUAAAAUUAGUUCUGGGCCAGACAAGACUAAUUGAGAUAAACAGUUGGAGAGAAAAGUCCAAGUCCACUACUGAGGGCAGCUGGAAUUCUUUAUUUAGGCUUUGUUUACAGGGACAUUGUAAAUGCACUGUUUGCUGUUGAUAUUAAGAACAAAGUAUGACAGGACCAUGCAUCAUCUCAUAGGAGAGGGUUUAGGUCAGAGAAUCCUAUGUAUGCAUGACCGUCCAUGUGAUUCAUGGUCAAGCCCACCCCUCUCCCCACUUCAAGCAUGCAAUGCGUAUUGAUGAUUUCCAAAAUGUUGGCUUUAAGCUUAUCUGAGAAUCACAGCUGAGAAACAUAGCAGUUUGGGGCUAAGCAAGAAUGAAGACAAGAAGGACGAAACACGAAACUCCAAUUUGAAAAAAGAAAUUUAAUGGUUGAGAUGCCACAUAUUACGAAAUUGCACUAGAACACUUGGACCUUUCUUUACCUACUGAUCAGUAUUUUGUGUUAGGAACUAUAUCUCUGUCUCAAACUGUGUUCUUCACAUGCUAGUGCACUAUUAAUACCUGGAUGAUGUGCUAGAAUUGCAGAGAAUGGUUGUAUUGAACACCAGAGACACUCAGAGCUCACAGUGUGCUAUAUGUACUGGAAUGAAUGUGGUCAUUAGUCUGAAAUUAGAGAAUGACACCUAACUGCUAGCUCUGUGUAUGCUAGCUCGACUGCACGUAACUAAUGUUUCCUACAGCGUAAGGGUGCUUUCACACUUUCAGAAAAAAUAAUGCCAAGCCAUAACAUAAUCAUAACAAUGUUCUUUCUAGUUCUAGCUAGUAUCGGCUAACUAACUAUCCUGGGUUUGCUAUAUAGAUUAGAUUUAUUAUUAUCAGUAAUAAAGAUUAAAUAAAGAUUUUUUGAGGGUUGUUUUUGCUUCGCUGCAGCUUUGGAUGACUAAUUCUUCACCAGCUCUUUAUCCUCCAUGGUUUUUUCCUCGUUUGUCCCAACUUGCAACAUGACUGGAGGUAAAGCAAAAAAAAAAAAAAUUUAAUUCUUGACGUCAGUUGGGAAUUUUCUGAAAAGUUGAACCUUGGAUGCUCUUUUGCGACCAAAAAAUGCAGACGGGAACGCUAUUCCCAUAAGGCUAAAUGUAAAAUGUGUGAGGGCAGAUGAGAAAAAAUGGCAAGUGGGAACGCACGUCAACACGCCCCUGCUUUGUGGUCGUGGGAAGCCUGGAGCCUUUCCCAGGGGAUUCGGGGCACAAGACAGGGGACACGCUGGACACCCAUCGCAGGACACAUUCACACACACAUUCACAUACUACGGACCAUUUAGAGAUGCAAAUCUGCCUACAGUGUAUAUCUUUGGACUGGGGGAGGAAACUGGAGUACCCGGAGGAAACCUUUGAAGCACAGGGAGAGCAUGCUCUGUGCACACAGGGUGGAGGAGGAAUUCGAACCCCCCAUCCCUGGAGGUGCGAAGCAAAUGUGCUAACCACUAAACCACCAAAUAAUAACUCAACAAUUCUAAUGAAACUCUUAUCAGUCUUUAAGCUAAAUAACCAAACUGUAACACUAUUUAUGUGUUCAGAUAUUGCCAUUUAUCAAGAACAAAAAGAAGCAACAGCAACAAUAUUAUAUUCAGGAUGUACUUUUCUUGUACAAUUUUGUUUUAUAACACUGAUUUGUUGUUCUGUUCUAUACAGUAUGUACACUUUGUUCAUCAUUAAAUAUAUAUAUAUAUAUAUAUAUAUAUAUAUAUAUAUAUAUAUAUAUAUAUAUAUAUAUAUAUAUAUAUAUCAAUUAAAUAGGGGGCAGUGGGAGCAGAAAGAGCUCUGUUCACUCAGAGAAAGAUGAAGAAUGUGAUGGGGAAAGAGGGAAGGAUGUAGAGAAUCAGGUUGCUUAAUAUAGACAAACAUUUUCAGUAUCUGUCACAGUCCCUAAAGCCUCAGUAAUGUGUACCAUGGGAUUAACACUCCUGUGUUUAUGAGCACACACACACACAUUAGUAAAAUCCAACAGUUCUCAUCAGUGUGUGACUGUGGACUCUCUGACCUUACUGUGAGAGUAAACAGCAGUCAUAAAGUAGCCAAACACGGCUAAAGCCAUGAACUAGUUUAUUAGACAUCCAUACAUCCGGAGCUGCUCCCCAAUAAAGACGUCAUGGAUAGUGAUGAACUCUCAGCUAGUGGGAGGAAACAAUAGAGAGAGAGAGAGAGAGAGAGAGAGAGAGAGAGAGAAAUGAAUUAUUGGUGUACUAUAUAACUCAGUAUACUAUAUAUAGUGCAAAAUAAUAUUCUUUUCAGAGUGUUUCACACACUUCACAUUCCAGGUGCACCGCAACAUGGCUGCACUGGAAAAAGUGCAAAUCCUUCCCCACUUUUGUAUAUUGCACUGUGUUUAUUGUCUUCUUAUGUACUUUUUUUCAUUAUGUAUGUUUUUAUUCUGUUUUGAUCGUUUGUUUUGACUUGGGUCCAUACGGCAUAAGGAAACCCCAGCAUGCUCAGCACUUAGUCACUGACUUCAUGUCUCUUUAGUUAAUGUACAGUAUAAUUCAAAAGUUUGGACAUGCAUUGUAAUAGAGAGGGGUUUAUUUUCUCCCCCAUAUUUUCAGUAAUUUCUACCUUUUAAAAUAAUAGUGAAGACAUUCAUUGGAUCUGACUGGACGGAUCUGGAGUCUGUCCCGGGAACACUAGGGUACAGGGCACCAUGCAGACAUCAGAACUAUACAAUAACUUAUGUGGAAUUAUUCUGUGUAUGCCCCUCCGCCCCCUCCCCCCCAAAUGAUUAUUGAAUAAAUGAAAACCAAACCA
Molecule: long non-coding RNA, 5385 nt
Organism: Ictalurus punctatus (channel catfish)
Lineage: Eukaryota; Metazoa; Chordata; Actinopteri; Siluriformes; Ictaluridae
Exons: 2
Source: RefSeq, a predicted model, not a curated record